RNAcentral lists this ribosomal RNA (253 nucleotides) under uncultured bacterium. Its description in RNAcentral is "partial 16S ribosomal RNA". It matches the Rfam family "Bacterial small subunit ribosomal RNA", at positions 524 to 776 of the family's 1533-position model. The record is from RNAcentral.
UACAGAGGUCCCGAGCGUUGUUCGGAUUCACUGGGCAUAAAGGGUGCGUAGGUGGUGAGGUAAGUCGGAUGUGAAAUCUCCGGGCUCAACCCGGAAAUGGUAUUGGAAACUGCCUUGCUGGAGGAUUUGAGGGGGGACUGGAAUACUUGGUGUAGCAGUGAAAUGCGUAGAUAUCAAGUGGAACACCAGUGGCGAAGGCGAAUCCCUGGAAAAUACCUGACACUGAGGCACGAAAGCUAGGGGAGCAAACAGG